This 449-nucleotide ribosomal RNA is filed under the name uncultured bacterium. Its description in RNAcentral is "partial 16S ribosomal RNA". It matches the Rfam family "Bacterial small subunit ribosomal RNA", at positions 330 to 793 of the family's 1533-position model. The record is from RNAcentral.
GCCAGACUCCUACGGGAGGCAGCAGUGGGGAAUAUUGGACAAUGGGGGGAACCCUGAUCCAGCGACGCCGCGUGAGUGAAGAAGUAUCUCGGUAUGUAAAGCUCUAUCAGCAGGGAAGAAAGAAAUGACGGUACCUGACUAAGAAGCCCCAGCUAACUACGUGCCAGCAGCCGCGGUAAUACGUAGGGAGCGAGCGUUGUCCGGAAUUACUGGGUGUAAAGGGGGCGCAGACGGCGAUGCAAGCCAGGAGUGAAAGCCCGGGGCCCAACCCCGGGACUGCUCUUGGAACUGCGUGGCUGGAGUGCAGGAGGGGCAGGCGGAAUUCCUGGUGUAGCGGUGAAAUGCGUAGAUAUCAGGAGGAACACCGGUGGCGAAGGCGGCCUGCUGGACUGCAACUGACGUUGAGGCCCGAAAGCGUGGGGAGCAAACAGGAUUAGAUACCCUUGUAU